CAUAGCGACUAUCGUGGCAUAUCAAUAAGCGGAGGAAAAGAAACUAACUAGGAUUCCCUUAGUAACGGCGAGUGAAGCGGGAAGAGCUCAAAUUUGAAAUCUUCAAGGUUCUACCUUGACGAAUUGUAGUUUAAAGAAGUGUUUUCUGUUGGAGUUUUGGUAAAAGUUCUUUGGAAUAGGACAUCAUAGAGGGUGAGAAUCCCGUAUUUGACCAUUUCUUCCAGCUGUGUGAUACACUUUCAAAGAGUCGGAUUGUUUGGGAAUGCAGUCCAAAAUGGGUGGUAAAUUUCAUCUAAAGCUAAUAUUGGCGAGAGACCGAUAGCGAACAAGUACCGUGAGGGAAAGAUGAAAAGAACUUUGAAAAGAGAGUUAAACAGUACGUGAAAUUGUCAAAAGGGAAGCGUUUGACACCAGUGUUGUUUUCUCGAAAAUCAAUUAAAAAUGGCCGGAUUUUGUGUUGUAUUGACUUUAUCAGCUUUCUGCACUUUUUUCUUGUCUUUUUUAAUGCACUUUUCGUUUAACAAGUCAACAUCAAUUUCUUUUGUUGUAAAAGAGUCAUUGGAAGGUGGCUUUCAUUUCGGUGAAAGUGUUUAUAGCCUUUGACUUCUGCAAUCGGAGAGAUUGAUGUCUGCAGCGUAGAUCCUUCGGGGUUAGAUACAUUUGUGCUAAGUUAUAGUUUUUCAUAGACAACAUGUUGACUAUGAUUAAUCAUGUAGCUUACUCGCUUAUGCUAUUUUACCUACGCUUAGGAUGUUGAUAUGCAUGACUGAUAU
RNAcentral lists this ribosomal RNA (773 nucleotides) under uncultured Neocallimastigales. RNAcentral's name for it is "partial large subunit ribosomal RNA". It matches the Rfam family "Eukaryotic large subunit ribosomal RNA", at positions 22 to 635 of the family's 3401-position model. The record is from RNAcentral. Lineage: Eukaryota; Fungi; Neocallimastigomycota; Neocallimastigomycetes; Neocallimastigales.